UGGGGAAUUUUGCGCAAUGGGGGAAACCCUGACGCAGCAACGCCGCGUGGAGGAUGAAGCCCCUUGGGGCGUAAACUCCUUUCGACCAAGACGAUAAUGACGGUACUGGUGGAAGAAGCACCGGCUAACUCUGUGCCAGCAGCCGCGGUAAUACGGAGGGUGCGAGCGUUGUUCGGAAUUAUUGGGCGUAAAGGGCGCGUAGGCGGUGCCACAAGUCACCUGUGAAAUCCCCGGGGCUUAACUCGGGGCCUGCAGGCGAAACUGUGGUGCUGGAGUAUGGUAGAGGUGCGUGGAAUUCCCGGUGUAGCGGUGAGAUGCGUAGAUAUCGGGAGGAACACCUGUGGCGAAAGCGGCGCACUGGACCAUAACUGACGCUGAGGCGCGAAAGCUAGGGGAGCAAACAGGAUUAGAUACC
Molecule: ribosomal RNA, 415 nt
Filed under: uncultured bacterium
Lineage: Bacteria
Description: bacterial SSU rRNA
Rfam family: Bacterial small subunit ribosomal RNA
Source: RNAcentral